RNAcentral lists this long non-coding RNA (243 nucleotides) under Setaria italica (foxtail millet). Its description in RNAcentral is "long non-coding RNA (SITA_LNC002939)". The record is from RNAcentral. Lineage: Eukaryota; Viridiplantae; Streptophyta; Magnoliopsida; Poales; Poaceae.
UUAUUUGGUCGUGAGUGAACUUGACGUGCUCAUUUAGAUCUGUCAUCUUGUGGCAAGACUUAACUCCAUGGAGGCUAUGAUCAAGAUUCCAAUUCCAUAUUUAAUUUGCAUGUAGGCAUGUUUACCUUACCCAAGCUAGCUUUGCAAUUAGCAAGCUGUAAUUAUCCCCCCACAAGCAACUGGCUGUAAGUCUUCUCUAUUUCUUAAGAACACAAGCAACUAAAUGAAUCUUAUAAGGUGCUU